Molecule: unclassified non-coding RNA, 301 nt
Filed under: uncultured fungus
Lineage: Eukaryota; Fungi
Description: partial contains 5.8S ribosomal RNA, internal transcribed spacer 2, and large subunit ribosomal RNA
Rfam family: 5.8S ribosomal RNA (bases 1-52)
Source: RNAcentral
AACGCACCUUGCGCUCUCUGGUAUUCCGGAGAGCAUGCCUGUUUGAGUGUCAUGAACUCUUCAACCCACCGGUUCCUUGUUGAACCGAGUUGGUGUUUGGAUUUUGAGUGUUUGCUUUUCAUUAAGCUCAUUCGUAAUACAUUAGCAUCUCAAUUUCGUAAUCGGAUUGACUCAGCGUAAUAGACUAUUCGCUGAGGACACUUUUAUUAGUGGCCGAGAAUGAAAAAGUUAGAAGCUUCGAACCCUUCUAGUCAACUUUAGAUUAGACCUCAGAUCAGGCAGGAUUACCCGCUGAACUUAA